Molecule: ribosomal RNA, 457 nt
Filed under: uncultured bacterium
Lineage: Bacteria
Description: bacterial SSU rRNA
Rfam family: Bacterial small subunit ribosomal RNA
Source: RNAcentral
UACGGAAGGCAGCAGUGGGGAAUAUUGCACAAUGGGCGCAAGCCUGAUGCAGCCAUGCCGCGUGUAUGAAAAAGGCCUUCGGGUUGUAAAGUACUUUCAGUCGUGGGGAAGGUGUUAAGGUUAAUAACCUUAGCAAUUGACGUUAGCGACAGAAGAAGCACCGGCUAACUCCGUGCCAGCAGCCGCGGUAAUACGGAGGGUGCGAGCGUUAAAUCGGAAUUACUGGGCGUAAAGGGCACGCAGGCGGUUAAUUAAGUUGGAUGUGAAAUCCCCCGGGCUUAACCUGGGAAUGGCAUUCAAGACUGGUUAGCUAGAGUCUUGUAGAGGGGGGUAGAAUUCCAUGUGUAGCGGUGAAAUGCGUAGAGAUGUGGAGGAAUACCGGUGGCGAAGGCGGCCCCCUGGACAAAGACUGACGCUCAUGUGCGAAAGCGUGGGGAGCAAACAGGGAUUAGAUACC